UGGCUCAGUGGUAGAGUGCUUGCCUUGCAUGCAUGAGGCCCUGGGUUCAAUUCCUUA
Dipodomys ordii (Ord's kangaroo rat) is the source of this 57-nucleotide non-coding RNA. The record is from Rfam. NCBI's taxonomy places the organism in Eukaryota, Metazoa, Chordata, Mammalia, Rodentia, Heteromyidae.